UGCAGUCGAGCGGAGAUGAGGUGCUUGCACCUUAUCUUAGCGGCGGACGGGUGAGUAAUGCUUAGGAAUCUGCCUAUUAGUGGGGGACAACAUUCCGAAAGGAAUGCUAAUACCGCAUACGUCCUACGGGAGAAAGCAGGGGAUCUUCGGACCUUGCGCUAAUAGAUGAGCCUAAGUCGGAUUAGCUAGUUGGUGGGGUAAAGGCCUACCAAGGCGACGAUCUGUAGCGGGUCUGAGAGGAUGAUCCGCCACACUGGGACUGAGACACGGCCCAGACUCCUACGGGAGGCAGCAGUGGGGAAUAUUGGACAAUGGGGGGAACCCUGAUCCAGCCAUGCCGCGUGUGUGAAGAAGGCCUUAUGGUUGUAAAGCACUUUAAGCGAGGAGGAGGCUACUGAGACUAAUACUCUUGGAUAGUGGACGUUACUCGCAGAAUAAGCACCGGCUAACUCUGUGCCAGCAGCCGCGGUAAUACAGAGGGUGCGAGCGUUAAUCGGAUUUACUGGGCGUAAAGCGUGCGUAGGCGGCUUUUUAAGUCGGAUGUGAAAUCCCCGAGCUUAACUUGGGAAUUGCAUUCGAUACUGGGAAGCUAGAGUAUGGGAGAGGAUGGUAGAAUUCCAGGUGUAGCGGUGAAAUGCGUAGAGAUCUGGAGGAAUACCGAUGGCGAAGGCAGCCAUCUGGCCUAAUACUGACGCUGAGGUACGAAAGCAUGGGGAGCAAACAGGAUUAGAUACCCUGGUAGUCCAUGCCGUAAACGAUGUCUACUAGCCGUUGGGGCCUUUGAGGCUUUAGUGGCGCAGCUAACGCGAUAAGUAGACCGCCUGGGG
Molecule: ribosomal RNA, 827 nt
Filed under: Acinetobacter sp. ICU5
Lineage: Bacteria; Pseudomonadati; Pseudomonadota; Gammaproteobacteria; Moraxellales; Moraxellaceae
Description: bacterial SSU rRNA
Rfam family: Bacterial small subunit ribosomal RNA
Source: RNAcentral